This 2061-nucleotide long non-coding RNA is filed under the name Sus scrofa (pig). RNAcentral's name for it is "lncRNA (ENSSSCG00015019828.1, ENSSSCG00040050651.1)". Lineage: Eukaryota; Metazoa; Chordata; Mammalia; Artiodactyla; Suidae. The record is from RNAcentral.
CUUCGUUACUCAGGAGAAAAAAAGAGGGAGCGAGAGAGAGAAAAUCAAGUCGCAGCCGGCUUGGCCCGGUGUUGGGGGCGGUCGCGCGGAACGGUGAGGCUGUGAGAACUUCCCCAGCUGCUGACUGAAGUGGGAAGUGAGGUGUGAACUGAGACCCCGGGAGAGAGGCCCUCCGGGUAGGACCUGGCCUCGGACUGGCGGCGUAAAGGGUGGCGUUGCCACCGACUGAGAGUGGUUGAGCUGGCCUCUGGCCGAGUGUGGGGAGAGAGGCUUCACUUCUUUGUACACAUGUGCAGAGGCUAUGAAGUCCAGGAUUAAGGUGCUGGCCAAUUCAGUUUCUGGUGAAGACUCUUCUGGAGUUGCAGACUUCUGAGUUUAUCUUCAAAUGGCCUUUCCCCAGUGGGCGUAUGUGGGGAGAGGGGAGAGCCAUCCUGCCUGAAACUCAGGAAACACAAGGUCCCUGGUUGUGUAACAUGAGUACACUUGAAAGUUCCUCGUCCUUAUCUGGCAACCCAGAUGGAUAAAUACUGGCCCUGAAGAUGCUUUUCUUAAAACUGAGCACAAGUGGCUGCAGAACAGAGCUUGGGAAGAACCAGUUAUUCUUCUGCCAGUUCAAAACUGGGGGCCCCUUCCCUCUAGCAUUCAUCCUCUGCUUGCCGGGGCAUAUCAAUUUCACCCAAAUCACGUGGACUAAGGUGGUGAUGGUGGGCUGUGGUAGGUAUGAUUUCCCCAAAGAAAAUUCAGAUGAAGUCACCAGAGGGAAGAAGGAAGAAUGGAUGUUUAUGCAAAAGACGCAGAUGUCCACAACAAUUCCCACAUGGGAAGAGAAUAAUCCAGGUUUAAGAGCCCUGGCUUGGGACCCCAGUGUCUGGGGAUGGAGUCCCAGCUCUACCAUUUACAAAUUGUGUGACCAUGGCUGGAUCAUGUCACCAGUCAGUAUGGGUCUGUGUCCCCAUUAACAAAUGGGAGUGAUGGUCCAGCAUUGUGGGCCUGAAUCAGAGUGACAGCACAUUGCAAAGGCACCAUGUAAGCUCCAGCAGGUGUGUCACAGCUACUUGUGGUGUCAUGAAGUCUGAAGUCUCUGAUCCAGUGAAUCAACUUCUGAAUAUUUAAUCAAAGGAAAUUAAAACACUAACUCAGGAGUUCCCAUCAUGGUGCAGUGGUUAACGGAUCCGACUAGGAACCAUAAGGUUGCGAGUUCGAUCCCUGGCCUUGCUCAGUGGGUCGAGGAUCCAGCAUUGCCGUGAGCUGUGGUGUAAGUUGCAGACACGGCUGGGAUCCUGCGUUGCUGUGGCUCUGGCGUAGGCCGGUGGCUAUAGCUCCAAUUAGACCCCUAGCCUGGGAAUCUCCAUAUGCCGCUGGAGCGGCCCUAGAAAAAGGCAAAAAGACAAAACAAACAAACAAACAAACAAAAAAACACUAACUCAAAAAGGUAUCUGUACCCCCAUGUUCAUUGAAGCAUUAUUUACAAUAGCCAGGAUAUGCAAACAACCUAAGUGUCUAUUGAUGGAUGAAUCAAUAAAGAAAUGUGGUGUGUAUAUGUAAUGGAAUAUACUUCAGCCAUAGGAAAGAAUAAAAUUCUGCCAUUUUGCAACAACAUGGAUGAACCUUGAGGGCAUUAUGCUAAAUGAAAUGUCAGACAGAGAAAGACAAAUACCAUAUGAUCUUACUCAUAUAUGAAAUUAAAAAGAAAAACUAAGGUCAUAAAUACAAAAAGUAGAUUGGUGGUUGCCAAAGAUGGGGGGAUAGGAGAAUGGGCGAAAUGACUGAAGGGGGUCAAAAGGUAUAGACUUUCAGUUAUAAGAUAAAUAAGUCCUGGGAUAUAAUGUACAGCAUGGUGACUGUAGUUAACACUGUAUUGCACAUUUUAAUGUUUCUAAGAGAGUGGAUCUUAAAAAUUCAUCACAAGAGAAAAAAUUUAUAACUAUGUAUGGUAACAGAUAUUAACUACACUUAUUAUGGAGACCAUUUUUCAGUGUAUACAAAUAUUGAAUCAUGUUGUAUGCCUGAAAUUAUUAUAAUGUUAUAUGUCAAUUAUACCUAAAUAAAAAACAAAAUGAA